UUUUAAAACAUAGUGAGAUUUAAAAAAUUAAUAAUAAUUAAUAUAAAUUUGAAAAAAAUGGCUGAGAUAUUCAAAGAAAAGGUAUUUUAUUAAUGUCGACCAAUUUACAAUUGGCAAGAGGGCAGUUCGGUGGUAUCAACGGAAAAACAAGUUCCAAAGAACAGUGGGAAUCUAUCGCUUUAACUUUGAACUCAUUGGGAGGAAGUCAAAAGACUGUUGAUCAAGGGAAGAAGUGUUGGUUAGAUUUAAAAGGGUCCGUUAAAAAAAAAAAAAAAAAACAUAUCAACAACUGAACAAAACCGGUGGUGGCAGUUGGGUCGAUGUGCCACGAGAUUUAAAUUAUUUUGAAGAAAAAAUUUUACAAAUUAUGACGGUGGAUGCCGUUGAUGGCGAUGCACGCACCCCAGAAUCAGGGAUUAAUUUAAACGUGGACUCACGAUAUAAAUGCAUUUAUGGAUCUAAUACUAAUGUUUUGACGUGUUACAAAACAAAAGACAAAUUCAAAAUAGUAUGCGCCAAAAGUUAAAAUUCAAAAGAAAGAACAACCAACAACAAGCACAUCAACACACCAACAGAAAAUUCCACUGACAGCAUCAAAAUAUGCAGAAGCAUUAACAGAAGCAAAAGAAAUGCAUUCUGCUUUAAUGGCAGAAAUAGAAAAACUUAAAAAUCAAAAUAACUUAUUUUUAGAAAAAGUAACUGAAAUUGAAAAAACGUUGGACAUUUUAAAAAGUUAAUUUGCUAUACGUAAUUAUUUCGUUAAUUUUCUUUAUACAAUUUAAAAUUAUAAUUCCCUUAAAACCCCAAUUGUUAACUAUUUAAUACACUGCUUAUCUUUCAAAAAACUUGUAAAUGGAUCCUUAUU
This is a long non-coding RNA of Lucilia cuprina (Australian sheep blowfly), 865 nucleotides long. RefSeq lists it as uncharacterized. Lineage: Eukaryota; Metazoa; Arthropoda; Insecta; Diptera; Calliphoridae. The transcript has 3 exons. The record is from RefSeq and is a predicted model, not a curated record.